Molecule: ribosomal RNA, 1904 nt
Filed under: fermentation metagenome
Description: bacterial LSU rRNA
Rfam family: Bacterial large subunit ribosomal RNA
Source: RNAcentral
CCCCGGGAGGGGAGUGAAAGAGAACCUGAAACCAUAUGUUUACAAGCUGUGGGAGGUGUGUCUAUGGAUUCACCUAUCUUCAUGAGCCCUGCAGCUGUUACAGCAGCGAUUACAGCGUCAACUUACUCGGCGUAGACAACUACGCCUGCGUGAGUUUCCUUGUACUCGCAGCCGUACCAGCCACAGUGCAGCAUGAGAAUAGGUGAGUCCAUAGCCAUCAACCGCGUACUUUUUGUAGAACGGUCCGGCGAGUUGCGCCGGCUGGCAAGGUUAAGAGCUUAAGGCUCGGAGCCGAAGGGAAACCAAGUCUGAAUAGGGCGUUUUAAGUCAGCCGGAGCAGACCCGAAACCGGGUGAUCUAUCCAUGUCCAGGUUGAAGUUGCCGUAAAAGGCAAUGGAGGACCGAACACACAUCCGUUGAAAAGGGUGGUGAUGAGGUGUGGAUAGGGGAGAAAUUCCAAUCGAACCCGGAGAUAGCUGGUUCUCCUCGAAAUAGCUUUAGGGCUAGCCUCAUAAAAAGUCUUGCGGAGGUAGAGCACUGAAUUUCCUAGGGGGCGUCAAAGCUUACCAAAGAAUAUCAAACUCCGAAUGCCGUGUAGAUGAUGUAUGGGAGUCAGACUGUCCGAGAUAAGUUGGAUGGUCAAAAGGGAAACAGCCCAGACCUGCGGCUAAGGCCCCAAAAUGUGUGUUAAGUGGAAAAGGAUGUGGGAUUUCAAAGACAGCUAGGAUGUUGGCUCAGAAGCAGCCAUCCAUUCAAAGAGUGCGUAAUAGCUCACUAGUCGAGAGGUCCUGCGCCGAAAAUGUCCGGGGCUCAAACACACUGCCGAAGCCCAGGAAUUGAUGAAUGUCAAUUGGUAGAGGAGCAUUCUUAAGAGGAGGAAGCUGUACCGUAAGGAGCAGUGGACCCUUAAGAAGAGAGAAUGCCGGAAUGAGUAGCGAGAGGAAGGUGGGAAUCCUUCCGGCCGAAUAUCUAAGGUUUCCAGAGUAAAGCUGAUCUGCUCUGGGUAAGUCGGGGCCUAAGGCGAGGUCGAAAGACGUAGCCGAUGGACAACAGGUGGAGAUUCCUGUACUAUACCAUGACAGAACUGUGGGGACGCAGGCAGAGAGCGCAUCCCGGGAGUGGAAAACCCGGGGCAAGCGGAGAAGGAGUGCAUCAGGCAAAUCCGGUGCAUAAUCCAAAGACGUGACGCCAAGCGAACUAAAGUAGCGAAGUGCGUGAGCUGACUGCCGAGAAAAGCCGCUAUUGUUCAUGGUAUACCCGUACCGUAAACCGACACAGGUGGAUGAGGAGAGAAUCCUAAGGCCGACGGGAGAAGCAUUGUUAAGGAACUCGGCAAAAUGACCCCGUAACUUCGGGAGAAGGGGUGCCUGGGGAACCAGGCCGCAGAGAAUUGGCCCAAGCAACUGUUUAGCAAAAACACAGGUCUAUGCAAAACCGAAAGGUGAGGUAUAUGGGCUGACGCCUGCCCGGUGCUGGAAGGUUAAGGGGAGAGGUUAGCAUACGCGAAGCUUUGAACUUAAGCCCCAGUAAACGGCGGCCGUAACUAUAACGGUCCUAAGGUAGCGAAAUUCCUUGUCGGGUAAGUUCCGACCCGCACGAAAGGCGUAAUGAUUUGGGCACUGUCUCAACAAUGCACCCGGUGAAAUUGAAGUACCAGUGAAGAUGCUGGUUACCUGCGCCAGGACGGAAAGACCCCAUGGAGCUUUACUCCAGUUUGAUACUGGGAUUCGGUAUUGCAUGUACAGGAUAGGUGGGAGGCUAAGAACCCGUGACGCCAGUUGCGGGGGAGCCGCUGUUGGGAUACCACCCUUGCAGUGCUGGGUUUCUAACCAGCGGCCGUGAACCGGCCGGGGGACAAUGUCAGGCGGGGAGUUUGACUGGGGCGGUCGCCUCCGAAAGGGUAU